AAAAAAUUCAUCCCUAGUACAUUGUUUAACUAAUUACGGAAAUAAAAGAGAUAGUAAAAUCCUCAUCACCUAGGCGUCACUUUGACAACUGUGCAUAGGCUUGGGAGCUUUGGAAUUUCACGUCUUUCCUAUUUAACAUGUAAUAUGUACUAGGCGACACUUUGACAACUGUGAAUAGGCUUGGGAGCUUUGGAAUUUCACUUCUUUCCUAUUUAACAUGUAAUUUGUAUUGCCAUCGUGAUAGCAUGGGUGACUUGGAGAGUUGGUCGAUGGAAACAUUCCCGGUCAUCAGGGAGCAUGUGCUUAUGUGUCCUCUUUGAAAUUUAUAUUGAAGUUGAUGACUGAGAGGAUUAUUUUGCAGAUGAAUAUCCAAUUUUUGUCUCAAGGUCAUCCAUGUAAUGAUGUUAGUUGGAUUACUGGGGAUUGUCGUAUCAUUUAACAUACUGAACUGAGUGGUCUUGAUGCUACUUUCUCUAGGUUCCAGGACCGAGUGCAGAUCUUUUUGGCUGUUCUUUUCUGGAUGUCUCUAUUUUUCUGGGCUUGUGCAUGGGGUGAGAGGAAUGAUGGAAGACCUAGUAAGGGAUCUCGAUUUAGAAGAUAAUUUUUGUGGUAUCAAGUGUGACCUCAAUUAGAGCUGAUUGGAGGGCAAAGAUCCACGUAGCCGACCUCAUUUAGCUGGGAUAAGGCUGAGUAGUAGUAAUUGUUGUUUUUGUAAAUAAUUAGAUAUAUAUGAGUAUCAGCAUAUACAUAAAGAGUAUUUGAAAGUGUUCUGAAGUCUUGCCUUUGUAUGGUCCUUCAAAAUAUCAGUUGGGGUAAUGAACAUCUUUGUAUGACAUUGUUGUGAAUCAAAUUUCCAAGAUUUAGAUGUUCCAAA
Molecule: long non-coding RNA, 874 nt
Organism: Macadamia integrifolia
Lineage: Eukaryota; Viridiplantae; Streptophyta; Magnoliopsida; Proteales; Proteaceae
Exons: 2
Source: RefSeq, a predicted model, not a curated record